AUACGGAAGGUCCGGGCGUUAUCCGGAUUUAUUGGGUUUAAAGGGAGCGCAGGCGGAGAUGCAAGCGUGACGUCAAAUUUCGGGGCUCAACCCCGUCUCGCGUCGCGAACUGCGUCCCUUGGUUGCGGGAAGGGGAGGCGGAACUCGUGGUGUAGCGGUGAAAUGCAUAGAUAUCACGAAGAACUCCGAUCGCGAAGGCAGCCUUCCGGCCCGUCAACGACGCUCAUGCUCGAAGGUGCGGGUAUCAAACAGGAUUAGAUACCCUGGUAGUCCGCACAGUAAACGAUGGACACCCGCGGUUUGGCCUGUAUGGCUGAGCCGCCAAGCGAAAGCGUUAAGUGUCCCACCUGGGGAGUGCGCCGGCAACGGUGAAACUCAAAUGAAUUGACGGGG
Molecule: ribosomal RNA, 393 nt
Filed under: uncultured bacterium
Lineage: Bacteria
Description: partial 16S ribosomal RNA
Rfam family: Bacterial small subunit ribosomal RNA
Source: RNAcentral